Molecule: long non-coding RNA, 249 nt
Filed under: Elaeis guineensis (African oil palm)
Lineage: Eukaryota; Viridiplantae; Streptophyta; Magnoliopsida; Arecales; Arecaceae
Description: long non-coding RNA (EGUI_LNC026642)
Source: RNAcentral
GAUGAAGUCCUUAUCUUAUUAUUUCUCGAACUUUAUUUUAGAACUAUAGUAAAAUAAAUUGAAAUAGGCUAUACUUAUAAAUGAGUGAAAAGAAAAAUGAGCAAGAGGAAGAAGCAAUGGACGAUGGAUUCUGGCAUUGAACAAAAGAACUUACUAUCUAAAAGCUUUUAGCAUCUAAUCAGAUUGGUUUUACAAGAUAUUAGUUAGCAAGAAAAAUUGACAUUGGAGUUAGCAGUCAUAGAAGGAAAG